This 482-nucleotide ribosomal RNA is filed under the name Oreophoetes topoense. Its description in RNAcentral is "partial 16S ribosomal RNA". It matches the Rfam family "Bacterial large subunit ribosomal RNA", at positions 1929 to 2624 of the family's 2925-position model. Lineage: Eukaryota; Metazoa; Arthropoda; Insecta; Phasmatodea; Diapheromeridae. The record is from RNAcentral.
GGCCGCGGUAUUUUAACCGUGCAAAGGUAGCAUAAUCAUUAGUCUAUUAAUUGUAGACUUGUAUGAAUGGUUUGACGUGAUAUUAACUGUCUUAUAUAUUAUUAAUUGAAUUUAAUUUUUAAGUUAAAAAGCUUAAGUUUUUUUGUAGGACGAGAAGACCCUAUAGAUCUUUAUUAAUUUUUAAUUUAUUUUAUUUAGGUGAUUUUUUUUUAAGUUUUUUAUUUAUUUGGUUGGGGUGACAUAAGGAUAAAUAUAACUCCUUAUUUUCUAUUACAUUGAUUUUUGAGUAUUUGAUCUUCUAUUAUUGUUUAUAAGAUAAAGAUACCUUAGGGAUAACAGCGUAAUUUUCUUUGAGAGUUCAUAUCGACAGGAGAGAUUGCGACCUCGAUGUUGGAUUAAGAGAGACUUUAGGUGUAGAAGUUUAAUUGGUUGGGUCUGUUCGACCUUUAAUAUCUUACAUGAUCUGAGUUCAAAACCGGAGA